RNAcentral lists this long non-coding RNA (513 nucleotides) under Glycine max (soybean). RNAcentral describes it as "long non-coding RNA (GMAX_LNC003017)". Lineage: Eukaryota; Viridiplantae; Streptophyta; Magnoliopsida; Fabales; Fabaceae. The record is from RNAcentral.
CCAAAAGCUCCUUCCCCUAGUAACAAUCCACCCUAUGUUCCUACACCUCCAAAAACACCUUCUCCUUCUUAUAAUCCUCCUAAUGUUCCCACUCCUCCCAAAACACCUUCACCUAUUUACACUCCACCAAAUGUUCCUACUCCUCCAAAAACACCAUCUCCUGCUUAUAGUCCUCCAAAUGCUCCUUCCCCUCAUAACCAACCAAAUGUUCCUACUCCUCCAAAAACACCAUCUCCUGCUUAUAGUCCUCCAAAUGCUCCUUCCCCUCAUAACCAACCUCCCUAUGUUCCUACACCUCCAAAAACACCUUCUCCUUCUUAUAAUCCUCCUAAUGUUCCCACUCCUCCCAAAACACCUUCACCUAUUUACACUCCACCAAAUGUUCCUACUCCUCCAAAAACACCAUCUCCUGCUUAUAGUCCUCCAAAUGCUCCUUCCCCUCAUAACCAACCUCCCUAUGUUCCUACACCUCCAAAAACACCUUCUCCUUCUUAUAAUCCUCCUAAUGUUNNN